GACGAACGCUGGCGGUGUGCUUAACACAUGCAAGUCGAACGGUAAGGCCCUUUCGGGGGUACACGAGUGGCGAACGGGUGAGUAACACGUGAGUAACCUGCCCUCAUCUCUGGGAUAACAGUCGGAAACGGUUGCUAAUACUGGAUAUGAGCUUGCAAGGCAUCUUGUGGGUUGGAAAGAUUUUUUGGUUGGGGAUGGACUCGCGGCCUAUCAGCUUGUUGGUGAGGUAGUGGCUCACCAAGGCUUCGACGGGUAGCCGGCCUGAGAGGGCGACCGGCCACAUUGGGGCUGAGAUACGGCCCAAACUCCUACGGGAGGCAGCAGUGGGGAAUAUUGCACAAUGGACGGAAGUCUGAUGCAGCAACGCCGCGUGCGGGAUGACGGCCUUCGGGUUGUAAACCGCUUUCAAUUGUGACGAAGCUUUUUGUGACGGUAGCAGUAGAAGAAGCACCGGCUAACUACGUG
This 465-nucleotide ribosomal RNA is filed under the name uncultured bacterium. RNAcentral describes it as "partial 16S ribosomal RNA". It matches the Rfam family "Bacterial small subunit ribosomal RNA", at positions 28 to 507 of the family's 1533-position model. The record is from RNAcentral.